Melitaea cinxia (Glanville fritillary) is the source of this 526-nucleotide long non-coding RNA. RefSeq lists it as uncharacterized. The transcript has 2 exons. The record is from RefSeq and is a predicted model, not a curated record. Lineage: Eukaryota; Metazoa; Arthropoda; Insecta; Lepidoptera; Nymphalidae.
GGGCCAGAAUAUUGAAUAUAAACAGACAAACGUUGCUAGUGGUUCAUAAGUAGAUUAAUCCGCUAAGUGUAUCGUUGUGUUUUCAGGCAAGACAUUACAUAUCAAAUCAAAAUAAUGGCUAAUGAAAAUGAACGCGUUGUUUUUCCCGAUGAAGUGGAACAGACCAAAGAGAAGGUUGCGGAAGAAACGCAAGCCACGGAAACCAAUGGUAUAGAGCAACCGCCUGAGAAAAGCGAAAUUCAGUUAAGAAAUAUGAUCACAGUUCCAGGCAACUGUCCGCCAGGUCAACAGCGUGGCGCUGACGGCAUUUGUCGCGACAUAUUUUGAAAUUUAAGGAAAUCUAUCAAUAAGGAUUAUUUAAAUUUAGUCAUAAGGUUUCGAAACAUCUUAUUCUUAAGACUUUCUAGCAUUUUAUGUUUGAUGCAUUGCCUUGUUUAAGAAUUUUAUUGUAAAUUAUCACAUAGCAGUAUUAUUUGUUUACCUGUUUUUUUAUGUGUUUUGUUUAAGUAAACUUACUUGUACUGUA